CCUACGGGCGGCUGCAGUGGGGAAUAUUGCACAAUGGGCGCAAGCCUGAUGCAGCCAUGCCGCGUGUGUGAAGAAGGCCUUCGGGUUGUAAAGCACUUUCAGCGGGGAGGAAGGCGGUGAGGUUAAUAACCUCAUCGAUUGACGUUACCCGCAGAAGAAGCACCGGCUAACUCCGUGCCAGCAGCCGCGGUAAUACGGAGGGUGCAAGCGUUAAUCGGAAUUACUGGGCGUAAAGCGCACGCAGGCGGUCUGUCAAGUCGGAUGUGAAAUCCCCGGGCUCAACCUGGGAACUGCAUUCGAAACUGGCAGGCUAGAGUCUUGUAGAGGGGGGUAGAAUUCCAGGGGUAGCGGUGAAAUGCGUAGAGAUCGGGAGGAAUACCGGUGGCGAAGGCGGCCCCCUGGACAAAGACUGACGCUCAGGUGCGAAAGCGUGGGGAGCAAACAGGAUUAAUACCCGGGUAGUC
RNAcentral lists this ribosomal RNA (464 nucleotides) under uncultured Klebsiella sp. Its description in RNAcentral is "bacterial SSU rRNA". It matches the Rfam family "Bacterial small subunit ribosomal RNA", at positions 338 to 795 of the family's 1533-position model. Lineage: Bacteria; Pseudomonadati; Pseudomonadota; Gammaproteobacteria; Enterobacterales; Enterobacteriaceae. The record is from RNAcentral.